CCCUACGGGGGGCAGCAGUGGGGAAUAUUGCACAAUGGGGGAAACCCUGAUGCAGCAACGCCGCGUGAGUGAAGAAGUAUUUCGGUAUGUAAAGCUCUAUCAGCAGGGAAGAAGAUGACGGUACCUGAAUAAGAAGCCCCGGCUAACUACGUGCCAGCAGCCGCGGCAAUACGUAGGUGGCAAGCGUUGUCCGGAUUUACUGGGUGUAAAGGGCGUGUAGCCGGGCUGACAAGUCAGAUGUGAAAUCCGGGGGCUCAACCCCCGAACUGCAUUUGAAACUGUUGGUCUUGAGUAUCGGAGAGGCG
Molecule: ribosomal RNA, 305 nt
Filed under: uncultured bacterium
Lineage: Bacteria
Description: bacterial SSU rRNA
Rfam family: Bacterial small subunit ribosomal RNA
Source: RNAcentral